This 135-nucleotide non-coding RNA is filed under the name Brugia malayi. The record is from RNAcentral. Lineage: Eukaryota; Metazoa; Nematoda; Chromadorea; Rhabditida; Onchocercidae.
UCAUCUUCUCCCUCCCUCCCUCUCUCUCUCUCUCUCUCUCUCUUUUCUCUUAUUAUCUUAGGAAGAGAUUGAAAAAAACUCAGGGAAGCAAAGAGGGAGAAAGAGAAAGAGAGAGAGGGGGAGGAAGAAAAAAAA